This 287-nucleotide ribosomal RNA is filed under the name uncultured bacterium. RNAcentral describes it as "partial 16S ribosomal RNA". It matches the Rfam family "Bacterial small subunit ribosomal RNA", at positions 775 to 1067 of the family's 1533-position model. The record is from RNAcentral.
GGAUUAGAUACCCUGGUAGUCCACGCCGUAAACGAUGCUAACUCGUUUUUGGGGUUUCGGCUUCAGAGACUAAGCGAAAGUGAUAAGUUAGCCACCUGGGGAGUACGUUCGCAAGAAUGAAACUCAAAGGAAUUGACGGGGGCCCGCACAAGCGGUGGAUUAUGUGGUUUAAUUCGAUGAUACGCGAGGAACCUUACCAAGACUUAAAUGGGAAAUGACAGAUUUAGAAAUAGAUCCUUCUUCGGACAUUUUUCAAGGUGCUGCAUGGUUGUCGUCAGCUCGUGCCG